AAAUCAUGAUCCUAUGCCAUCUGAAUCUGGAGAGACACAAAACUCAAAGAGUCUGGUUGCAGAAGAGGGAUCAGUUGAUUGUAGUGAUAAUUUAAGAAAUCACAUUGAUUUGAAUGUGAGUGUGACUGAAGAAGAGGCUCAACCAACACCUUUCUCUCCACAAACUAAGGUGAAGGUUGCACUUGAGAUAGAUUUGGAGGCACCAAUAUUUCUUGACAGUGAAAUAGAUAUUACUUCUGGAGGUGAAUUCGUAGAGAGCAAACUUAAAGAACCAUUUGACUCAAUAAAUGAUGAAUCAAGGGACUUUAAUGAAGGCUUUCUGAAGGAUGCAGCUGAGGUCCUAAUUGCCAUCUCAUCAUCAUGUGCGCAUGAUAUUCAAGAUGAUACCAGUCAUCACCAAGUGGAAGCUUCAGUGAGUGAAUCUCUUAAAUGGUUUGCAGAGAUAAUUACUUCUUACAAGGUUGAGGUUGAGAAUAAUUUAUCAGUUUCAGCUGGCACAGAUAGUACAGAUCGUGGAGAUUCCUUGCCAAAUGGUGUUGAUUAUUUUGAGUAUAUGACGCUAAAUUUGACAGAAGCCAAGUUAGAAGAGUAUCACUGUGAGCCUCAGAUUAUAGAGAACUCAAAAGAUGAAGUCACACUGCUAAGACGACCUCGGAGAGGUCAGGCAAGAAGAGGAAGGCAGCGGAAGGACUUUCAAAGGGAUGUACUUCCUGGUCUUGCCUCUCUGUCCAGGAAUGAUGUGGCUGAGGAUCUUCAGACCAUCGAAGGGCUUAUUAAGGCAACGGGUGGCAUUUGGCAAUCAAGUUUCUCACAGAGGAACUCUCCUAGGGGCAAAGGAGGGAGGGGGAGAAAGCGUUUAGGGGCUAAUGCUACCUCCCCUGCAGUAACUGCAGUUUGCCCACCUCAGACCCUGCAACCUAAAUGCGGGGAGCUGGUACUUGAGGAGACUAGACUAACAGGAUGGGGAAAGAGGACAAGGCGUCCGCCAAGACAGAGAUGUCCGAUUAAUCAUCCUCCUUUUCCAUUACAAUAAAGAGAGAGAGUUCAAAUGAU
This 1053-nucleotide unclassified non-coding RNA is filed under the name Hevea brasiliensis (rubber tree). Lineage: Eukaryota; Viridiplantae; Streptophyta; Magnoliopsida; Malpighiales; Euphorbiaceae. The record is from RNAcentral.